GUGGGGAAUAUUGGACAAUGGGCGAAAGCCUGAUCCAGCCAUGCCGCGUGUGUGAAGAAGGUCUUCGGAUUGUAAAGCACUUUAAGUUGGGAGGAAGGGCAGUAAGUUAAUACCUUGCUGUUUUGACGUGACCGACAGAAUAAGCACCGGCUAACUUCGUGCCAGCAGCCGCGGUAAUACGAAGGGUGCAAGCGUUAAUCGGAAUUACUGGGCGUAAAGCGCGCGUAGGUGGUUUUGUAAGUUGGAGGUGAAAUCCCCGGGCUCAACCUGGGAACUGCCGCCAAAACUACUGGGCUAGAGUACGGUAGAGGGUAGUGGAAUUUCCUGUGUAGCGGUGAAAUGCGUAGAUAUAGGAAGGAACACCAGUGGCGAAGGCGACUACCUGGACUGAUACUGACACUGAGGUGCGAAAGCGUGGGGAGCAAACAGGAUUAGAAACCCUGGUAGUCC
RNAcentral lists this ribosomal RNA (450 nucleotides) under uncultured bacterium. Its description in RNAcentral is "partial 16S ribosomal RNA". It matches the Rfam family "Bacterial small subunit ribosomal RNA", at positions 354 to 796 of the family's 1533-position model. The record is from RNAcentral.